Molecule: ribosomal RNA, 487 nt
Filed under: uncultured organism
Description: bacterial SSU rRNA
Rfam family: Bacterial small subunit ribosomal RNA
Source: RNAcentral
GAUGAACGCUGGCGGCGUGGAUAAGGCAUGCAAGUCGAACGGACCUUGCUGUUUGAUAGAUGAAAUGAGUAGCAAUACAAGUGAAGUUUUGAUAACAGCGCUGGUUAGUGGCAAACGAGGUAGUAACACGUGGGUAUUUCCCCCCAAGUCGUGAAUAACACAUCGAAAGGUGUGCUAAUACACGAUAGUCUCUCCGGAGUAAAGUUUUAACGCUUGGGGAAAAGCCUGCGGAGUAUCAGCUAGUUGGUAGGGUAACGGCCUACCAAGGCGAUGACGCUUAGAGGACCUGAGAGGGUGACCCUCACCGAUGGGACUGAGACACGGCCCAUACACCUACGGGUGGCUGCAGUCGAGAAUCUUCCACAAUGGACGAAAGUCUGAUGGAGCGACGCCGCGUGAUUGAUGAAGUCCUUCGGGACGUAAAGAUCUUUUAUGAGGGAAGAAGUUAUUGACUGUACCUCAUGAAUAAGGGGCUCCUAAUCUCGUG